UUUUUUCUUAUAAGUGUAGAGUGUCUUCAACUGUUUGUUGUGAGAGGGGUGCACCUCGAAAUACAGAAUUUGAAUGCUUACUUGUUGGCAGUGAAAAUUCAAUUUGCUUCAACUGCAUUAAACAAUUGCUUAUAUUCUACUUAGUUGCUUGUUCACUAGGGAAGGUUUAUGAAAUCCAGUGUUGGUUUCUUAAGAGGUUUUUUGUUUGGAGGCUUUUAUAUGAAGAUAACCCAAUAAUACCAUGUAAGUUAUAUUCAAAACCUCCUGAAGGCCUUUUUCUUUUGGUGAAGACACAGUUCUUAGUAAGUGGCUAGCAGAACUAUUAAAAAUACAUGUUAUAACUCAAUAUUUCAGAAUAACUCUGUGUGGAGACCAUCUUUAGGCAACUAAGUGGUCUGGUUUUCAAGUAUUCUGAACCCUGCAGAAGGCAUACAGAAACAUGCAAUUUAGGUUGGAAGAGACCUCUGAAGGUCACCUGGUCCAAGCCUCUGCUCAGAGCUUUUUGGAAGUUAGUUAGUUUAGCUUAGGUACCUCAGGGCCUUGUCCUGUCACACAAUCUUAGCAAAACUGGAUUUACUUUGACAUAUGUUGACAUUUAUGUGAGCUUCCUGAGUAUGUUUUGUAGGCAGCUGCGUACAGCAAUUACUGAGAUCAAUAAGGGAUUUAAAAGAUUGCCAUAAUACUCUGGAAACUGGAUAUUGCUUAGGGAUCUGUUGGCUUAAGGAAUGUUACAAGCUGUUCAUUACAGGCUGACCUCUAAGAGUUGGGGUUUUCUUCAGAAUAUAAAUCUAAUGCUUUCUCAUUGCAAAACAAUUCAUAGCAUCUUAUGGAGAGUCAAUGUCCACAUGUUCAUUUUAUUUAAUUUUGUGUUGUUUUUUUUUUUCCCCCCAGGACUUGCUUCCUUGCUUUCUGCACAUUCAGUGCUGCUGGGAUAUUCUCAGCAUUUAAAGGUAAUGAUAUGUACUGAAAUUCACAUUUUUCUCCUUUACAGUCAAGAAAUUUGGAUUGGAAAUACUGUCAACCUGACUGCAAAGGAAAGGAUUUCAGUCAAGGGAAAUCUUGAGACAGCAAUAGAACUUAUUAUUUUAUGCAAAAUUUAGUGUUUGGGGGGUGGAGAGGAACACUUUU
This 1128-nucleotide long non-coding RNA is filed under the name Strigops habroptila (Kakapo). Its description in RNAcentral is "lncRNA (ENSSHBG00005009280.1)". The record is from RNAcentral. Lineage: Eukaryota; Metazoa; Chordata; Aves; Psittaciformes; Psittacidae.